Small RNA from Aspergillus ruber CBS 135680, 70 nucleotides. It matches the Rfam family "bZIP non canonical Hac1/Xbp1 intron". Rfam says of the family: bZIP intron RNA is a non-canonical intron that was first reported in HAC1 gene in yeast and XBP1 gene in Metazoa. The record is from Rfam. NCBI's taxonomy places the organism in Eukaryota, Fungi, Ascomycota, Eurotiomycetes, Eurotiales, Aspergillaceae.
CGAGUCCUCCGAUGCGACACAACAUCCUGCAGCGAUGUUGUGUGACCUGCAGUGUCCGUCUCUGGGCUCG